Bufo bufo (common toad) is the source of this 3522-nucleotide long non-coding RNA. RefSeq lists it as uncharacterized. NCBI's taxonomy places the organism in Eukaryota, Metazoa, Chordata, Amphibia, Anura, Bufonidae. The transcript has 4 exons. The record is from RefSeq and is a predicted model, not a curated record.
AUGGAGAUGUUGGUGGACUAAGCUUAAGUUGGGGUGUCUGGGGAGACUGUCCUUUGUUGGAAUUAGUUACAGAUCUAUUAAAGGAUAAUGGCGAGAGCAGUGAAGAAGCAGAGAGAUGCAUUGCAGUUUCUCUUUUAGAUGAGGUGAGUGCAGAAAGGCUUUUCCAGCUUGAUAUUUUUCAGAUCCAUUUGUCAAGAGUGGCUCUCCGCUAGACAAAGUGGUUGAGGAAGGCAGCCCCCACAAAAUGCAAGUAAUAUACACUAUUGUUGUUGAGCAACAGUGUUUUCCAUCAUGUGGGUUGUGGACGCUUGUCUUCUCCUUGAUUUCAACAGCAACCAUGUAUGAUUUCACUGACAAUGGCUAGGAACCUUUUUUCUGUGGUAAAUAUACAAUUAAUAUACACAUAUUUCACUGUAAUUGCUGGUGUACUUUGACUGGAUGAAAUGUUUUUGGGAGGUGGGUUGUAUUGCUUUAUUCUUUUUUAUCAGCAGAGUUAUGAAGAAAACUAAUGCAGGCUAGCCAUCAAAAUAUGUAAGAACCCUCUCAUCUCAAUAUAUUUUGCUAUGGUGAAAACUGUUUGACAUGGAGAUGUUGGUGGACUAAGCUUAAGUUGGGGUGUCUGGGGAGACUGUCCUUUGUUGGAAUUAGUUACAGAUCUAUUAAAGGAUAAUGGCGAGAGCAGUGAAGAAGCAGAGGUGCAUUGCAGUUUCUCUUUUAGAUGAGGUGAGUGCAGAAAGGCUUUUCCAGCUUGAUAUUUUUCAGAUCCAUUUGUCAAGAGUGGCUCUCCGCUAGACAAAGUGGUUGAGGAAGGCAGCCCCCACAAAAUGCAAGUAAUAUACACUAUUGUUGUUGAGCAACAGUGUUUUCCAUCAUGUGGGUUGUGGACGCUUGUCUUCUCCUUGAUUUCAACAGCAACCAUGUAUGAUUUCACUGACAAUGGCUAGGAACCUUUUUUAUGUGGUAAAUAUACAAUUAAUAUACACAUAUUUCACUGUAAUUGCUGGUGUACUUUGACUUGAUGAAAUGUUUUUGGGAGGUUGGUUGUAUUGCUUUAUUCUUUUUUAUCAGCAGAGUUAUGAAGAAAACUAAUGCAGGCUAGCCAUCAAAAUAUGUAAGAACCCUCUCAUCUCAAUAUAUUUUGCUAUGGUGAAAACUGUUUGACAUGGAGAUGUUGGUGGACUAAGCUUAAGUUGGGGUGUCUGGGGAGACUGUCCUUUGUUGGAAUUAGUUACAGAUCUAUGAAAGGAUAAUGGCGAGAGCAGUGAAGAAGCAGAGGUGCAUUGCAGUUUCUCUUUUAGAUGAGGUGAGUGCAGAAAGGCUUUUCCAGCUUGAUAUUUUUCAGAUCCAUUUGUCAAGAGUGGCUCUCCGCUAGACAAAGUGGUUGAGGAAGGCAGCCCCCACAAAAUGCAAGUAAUAUACACUAUUGUUGUUGAGCAACAGUGUUUUCCAUCAUGUGGGUUGUGGACGCUUGUCUUCUCCUUGAUUUCAACAGCAACCAUGUAUGAUUUCACUGACAAUGGCUAGGAACCUUUUUUAUGUGGUAAAUAUACAAUUAAUAUACACAUAUUUCACUGUAAUUGCUGGUGUACUUUGACUUGAUGAAAUGUUUUUGGGAGGUGGGUUGUAUUGCUUUAUUCUUUUUUAUCAGCAGAGUUAUGAAGAAAACUAAUGCAGGCUAGCCAUCAAAAUAUGUAAGAACCCUCUCAUCUCAAUAUAUUUUGCUAUGGUGAAAACAGUUUGACAUAGAGAUGUUGGUGGACUAAGCUUAAGUUGGGGUGUCUGGGGAGACUGUCCUUUGUUGGAAUUAGUUACAGAUCUAUUAAAGGAUAAUGGCGAGAGCAGAGGUGCAUUGCAGUUUCUCUUUUAGAUGAGGUGAGUGCAGAAAGGCUUUUCCAGCUUGAUAUUUUUCAGAUCCAUUUGUCAAGAGUGGCUCUCCGCUAGACAAAGUGGUUGAGGAAGGCAGCCCCCACAAAAUGCAAGUAAUAUACACUAUUGUUGUUGAGCAACAGUGUUUUCCAUCAUGUGGGUUGUGGACGCUUGUCUUCUCCUUGAUUUCAACAGCAACCAUGUAUGAUUUCACGGACAAUGGCUAGGAACCUUUUUUCUGUGGUAAAUAUACAAUUAAUAUACACAUAUUUCACUGUAAUUGCUGGUGUACUUUGACUGGAUGAAAUGUUUUUGGGAGGUGGGUUGUAUUGCUUUAUUCUUUUUUAUCAGCAGAGUUAUGAAGAAAACUAAUGCAGGCUAGCCAUCAAAAUAUGUAAGAACCCUCUCAUCUCAAUAUAUUUUGCUAUGGUGAAAACUGUUUGACAUGGAGAUGUUGGUGGACUAAGCUUAAGUUGGGGUGUCUGGGGAGACUGUCCUUUGUUGGAAUUAGUUACAGAUCUAUUAAAGGAUAAUGGCGAGAGCAGUGAAGAAGCAGAGGUGCAUUGCAGUUUCUCAUUUAGAUGAGGUGAGUGCAGAAAGGCUUUUCCAGCUUGAUAUUUUUCAGAUCCAUUUGUCAAGAGUGGCUCUCCGCUAGACAAAGUGGUUGAGGAAGGCAGCCCCCACAAAAUGCAAGUAAUAUACACUAUUGUUGUUGAGCAACAGUGUUUUCCAUCAUGUGGGUUGUGGACGCUUGUCUUCUCCUUGAUUUCAACAGCAACCAUGUAUGAUUUCACUGACAAUGGCUAGGAACCUUUUUUAUGUGGUAAAUAUACAAUUAAUAUACACAUAUUUCACUGUAAUUGCUGGUGUACUUUGACUUGAUGAAAUGUUUUUGGGAGGUUGGUUGUAUUGCUUUAUUCUUUUUUAUCAGCAGAGUUAUGAAGAAAACUAAUGCAGGCUAGCCAUCAAAAUAUGUAAGAACCCUCUCAUCUCAAUAUAUUUUGCUAUGGUGAAAACUGUUUGACAUGGAGAUGUUGGUGGACUAAGCUUAAGUUGGGGUGUCUGGGGAGACUGUCCUUUGUUGGAAUUAGUUACAGAUCUAUGAAAGGAUAAUGGCGAGAGCAGUGAAGAAGCAGAGGUGCAUUGCAGUUUCUCUUUUAGAUGAGGUGAGUGCAGAAAGGCUUUUCCAGCUUGAUAUUUUUCAGAUCCAUUUGUCAAGAGUGGCUCUCCGCUAGACAAAGUGGUUGAGGAAGGCAGCCCCCACAAAAUGCAAGUAAUAUACACUAUUGUUGUUGAGCAACAGUGUUUUCCAUCAUGUGGGUUGUGGACGCUUGUCUUCUCCUUGAUUUCAACAGCAACCAUGUAUGAUUUCACUGACAAUGGCUAGGAACCUUUUUUAUGUGGUAAAUAUACAAUUAAUAUACACAUAUUUCACUGUAAUUGCUGGUGUACUUUGACUUGAUGAAAUGUUUUUGGGAGGUGGGUUGUAUUGCUUUAUUCUUUUUUAUCAGCAGAGUUAUGAAGAAAACUAAUGCAGGCUAGCCAUCAAAAUAUGUAAGAACCCUCUCAUCUCAAUAUAUUUUGCUAUGGUGAAAACAGUUUGACAUAGAGAUGUUGGUGGACUAAGCUUAAGUUGGGGUGUCUGGGGAGACUGUC